CUUUCUCCGCCGGCGACCGGCGCACGGGUGAGUAACACGUAUGCAACCUGCCCCUGUCAGGGGGACAACCCCGCCGAAAGGCGGGCUAAACCCGCGUACAUGCCACCGGGGCAUCCCGGAGGCAGGAAAGGCUUCGGCCGGACAGGGAUGGGCAUGCGGCGCAUUAGGCAGUAGGCGGGGUAACGGCCCACCUAACCGACGAUGCGUAGGGGUUCUGAGAGGAAGGUCCCCCCACACUGGUACUGAGACACGGACCAGACUCCUACGGGAGGCAGCAG
This 278-nucleotide ribosomal RNA is filed under the name uncultured bacterium. Its description in RNAcentral is "partial 16S ribosomal RNA". It matches the Rfam family "Bacterial small subunit ribosomal RNA", at positions 79 to 354 of the family's 1533-position model. The record is from RNAcentral.